CUGCGAGUGAAGUGGGAAAAGCUCAAAUUUAAAAUCUGACCGUCUUUGAUUGUCCGAAUUGUAUUCUAGAGAAGCAUUAUCUGCACUGGACCAUGUAUAAGUCUUCUGGAAUGGAGCAUCAUAGAGGGUGAGAAUCCUGUUUUCGACAUGGACUACCAGAGCUUUUGUGAUAUGCUCUCAAAGAGUCGAGUUGUUUGGGAAUGCAGCUCUAAAUGGGUGGUAAAUUCCAUCUAAAGCUAAAUAUUGGCGAGAGACCGAUAGUGAACAAGUACCGUGAGGGAAAGAUGAAAAGAACUUUGGAAAGAGAGUUAAAUAGUACGUGAAAUUGUUGAAAGGGAAACACUUGAAGUCAGUCACAUUAAUCAGAAAUCAACCUUGUUUUUUUUUUACUUGGUGUAUUUUCUGUUUGAUGGGUCAGCAUCAAUUUCAACUAGUAGAAAAAGACAGAAAGAAUGUGGCAUUUUCGGAUGUGUUAUAGCUUUCAGCCAUAUAUAUUAGUUGAGAUUGAGGAAUUCAGCAUGCCGCAAGGCUGGAUUUUUAAAUCACAUUCAUGCUUAGGAUGCUGACAAUAAUGGCUUUAAUUGACCCGUCUUGAAACACGGACCAAGGAGUCUAAUAUGCCUGCGAGUGUUUGAGUGACAAACUCAAGCGCAUAAUGAAAGUAAAAGUUGAGAUCUUUGUCAUAAAGAGCAUCAAUGCCUGGACCAGACCUUUUGUGACGGAUCCACGGUAAAGCAUGUAUAUUGGGACCCGAAAGAUGGUGAACUAUGCCUGAAUAGGGUGAAGCCAGAGGAAACUCUGGUGGAAGCUCGUAGCGAUUCUGACGUGUC
Molecule: ribosomal RNA, 830 nt
Filed under: Inocephalus sp.
Lineage: Eukaryota; Fungi; Basidiomycota; Agaricomycetes; Agaricales; Entolomataceae
Description: partial large subunit ribosomal RNA
Rfam family: Eukaryotic large subunit ribosomal RNA
Source: RNAcentral